UUUUUUUUUUUUUUUUUUUUUUUUUUGGUUGGGAGACUUUUAAUAACUGCUUCUAUUUCUCUAGGGAUUACGGGACUGUUUAGGUGGUUUAUCUGAUCCUGGGUUAACUUAGAUAUUUGGUAUUUGUCUAGAAAAUUGUCCAUUUCAUCCAGAUUUUUCCAAUUUUUUUAAUAUAGGCUUUUAUAGUAGGAUCUGAAGUUUUUUGGAUUUCCUAUGUUUCUGUUGUUAUGUCUCCCUUUUCAUUUCUGAUUUGGUUAAUUUGGAUACUGUUUCUGUGCCCUCUGGUUAGUCUGGCUAAGGGUUUAUCUAUCUUGUUGAUUUUCUCAAAGAACCAGCUCCUGGUUUUGUUGAUUUUUUUGUAUACUUCUUUUUGUUUCUACUUGAUUGAUUUCAGCCCUGAGUUAGAUAAUUUCCUGCCAUCUGUUCCUCUUGAGUGUAUUUUCUUCUUUUUGUUCUUGAGCUUUCAGAUAUGCUGUCAAGCUGCUGGUGUAUGCUCGCUCCAGUUUCUUUUUGGAGGCACUCAGAACUAUGAGUUUUCCUCUGAGCACUGCUGUCAUUGUGUCCCAUAAGUUUGGUUAUGAUGUGUCAUCAUUUUCAUUGAGCUACAGAAAAACUUUAUUUCUUCCAUGACCAAGUUAUCAUUGAGUAGACAGUUGUUCAGUUUACAUAGGUAUGUGGGUUUUCUGUUGUUUCUGUUGCUAUUGAAGUCCAGCCUUCGUCUGUGGUGAUCUGAUAGGAUGCAUGGGAUUAUUUCAAUCUUCUUGUAUCUGUUGAAGUUUGUUUUUAUGACCAGUUAUAUGGUCUGUUUUGGAGAAUAUACCAUGAGGUGCUGAGAAAAAGUUAUAUUCUUUUGUUUUAGGUUGACAUGUUCUGUAACUACAUUCAAUUCAUUUGGUUCAUAACCUCUAUUAGUUUCACUGUGUCUCUCUCUGUUUAGCUUCUGUUUCAAUGACCUGUCUAUUGGUGAGAGUGGGGUUUUGAAGUCUUCUACUAUUAUUGUGUGGGGUUCAAUGUGUGUUUUGAGCUUUAGUAGUUUCUUUUAUGAAUGUGGGUGCCCUUGCAUUUGGGACAUAAAUGUUCAGAACUGAGACUUUCUCUUGGUGGAUUUUUCCUUUAAUGAAUAUCAUGUAUCCUUCCCCAUCUCUUUUGAUAUCUUUUGGUUGUAAAUCUAUUUUGUUGGAUAUUAGACUGGCAACUCCUAUUUGUUUCUUGGUACCAUUUGCUUGAAGACUUUUUUCCAGCCUUCUACUCUACAGUAGUGUUUGUCUUUAUCGUUGUGGUGUGUUUCAUGUUUGCAACAAAAUGCUGGAUUCUGUUUGCAUAUCCAGUCUGUUAGAUUAUAUCACCAAGGAAUCUUAUGAUAAGUUCAAUAAUAUUCUCUUAAAUACUUGAAUUUCAUUCGUAGGACAAAUAUUUUUAUGUCUGAUUUGUUUUGUUGUUUGGGUUAAUUCAAUAUAGCUUCUCAGGGAUUUUUUUUCAAACCAUUAAUAUUCAUUUGUAAGGUAGCUAUCAGAAUACAUUUGGAACCAUAAAAUGGAGUUUGCUUAUAGAAAAUCAUUUUUUUCUAUUUCUUGGUUAACUCUGUCAACUUGACAGGACAUAGAAAAUAUCUAAAAAGAGAGCCUAAAUUGAGAAUUGUAUUGGCCUGUGGGUAUGUCUGUAAGAGAUUUUCUUGCUUAUUAAUUGACAUUUGAGGACUCAGCCCAAUGUGGGUGGUACCAUUCACUAGGCCCAUGUUUCUGGACUGUAUUCCUACAAUACAAAUAGAUGAGCAUGAGCCUGACCCAUCAUGCCAGUAGUAUGGUUUUUGCUGUAAUAUCUUGGCUGUGAGUAAAUUCCCUAGUUAAAAGUCAAAGUGUAAGUACAUAAAUAUAUAAAUACAACCUACUGAGUCCAUAUUUUGGGGCAUAUCUGGUUGCAAGGCAGAACCCUUUGCAUGGAGUAACCACUAAGGGAGCUUAUCCUUGGUAGAGGUUAAUUAUUCUUCCGUCAGUUAUUAGUUGCCUGGGGUGUUUUGUCUAGGGGCAUAACUCCUGUGAAAUUUUCCACUUCCAUGUUAAUAUGUCCAUCGAUAUUGCCAUUGUUCCGGUUUUGUUUAUCCAACCAUUUUUAAAAGACCAUUUUUCAGUAGACUUCCUAGUAUUCUGGCUCUUAAAAUCUUUCCAUCCCUCUUCUGCAGUGUUCCCUGAGCCAUCGAUGCAGAAACUGUGUUAUAGAUUUUUUCAAUGUGUCUGCACUGCUCAUGAUGCAUUGAUCUCUGUAUCAUGUCAAGUUAUUGUUCUCUAUGAUGGUCUCCAUUUGCUGGAAAGAAAGGUCUCUUUGAUGAGGGAUGGUAACUACACUUAUCAAGGAAAGUGGUUAGGAAAAAAGAGGACUUGCAGGUCAUGGGUCUGCAACCAAUUUGUAAAUAUCCAGUACUUAGAGAAGUAAAGCAUCAGCAGAAGGCACUGUUUUUCUCUUUCCAUUCCAGGCUUGAACUUGAAAGAUUUGGCUUUUAGUCGUAUCUCAGGUAUUUAAAAGAUGUGAAUACUAUGUAAAGUAUUCUAAAAGUGGCAAAGGAUAUAGAAAUUAAUAAGGUAGGUUUUCCUUUCAUAUUUACAAUAUACUAACAAUGAUAAGACAAAUAUUAAAUACAUAUAAGAUAAAGAAAGGCAAGUGCCAGAAGUUACAAAGAUACAAAGUAUUUUCUAAGUGGGAGAGAUUUAUCAUGGGUAGUAGAUUCUCUACACUGCAACUAGAGACAGAGACAGAGAGAACUAUCAGCCUCUGUAGUUAAAGACAAAUCAAAUAGUUCACUGCCCUUUCAUUUAUCUGUUUACUUUCCCCUUCUGCUGUGCUAUAAUGUUCUCCAUGACUGGGUAUUUAUUACUUUGUGUAUCACAACUCACUUGUGUCUGGUUUAUAAAGUGUACUUGAUCAGUGGGUGUUGAUUGAUGUGUGCCAUCAUUGAUAAUCAAACUUUCUGUCUAAAACAUUUUUAUUCUAUUGCAAAUCAUGUUCAAAAAUAAUGCUAUGCAACUAAGUAAUGUACUAUUGUAAGAAACUAAGCAUUUUAGAAGGAUAGCUCUUAUUUGGUUAUACACAGGAUGUACCAUAGUAUCACAAAAAGAUCAAAGCUGAUGUCUGCAUAUCUGUAUGACUGAAUAGGAGAAAGAAGACACUAUUAUUUUUUCUAAUUAUACUAGUUACAACAAAAUUUUUUUAAGAUAUUUGAUUGACAAAGCUCAAACCUCAGUGAAAAUGGGUGAUUAAUAAAUUUACAUUUCAACUGUGAGUAAUAAGUCAAAUUUUUAAGCUUGAAACUACAAUAUUAAAUGGAAAAUAUUACUCAGAUAUAUUACUAAGAAAUUACUAACAUCUUUGAGGUUUACAUUUCUGUGAUUUUAUUUAUUGUAUAUUAGAUGAAAUGUUACAUAGUAUAAGAAGUUUUAUAUGUGUAAGAGGGCUCUUUUGAAUCAUAGGUUGGAAAUUAUUUCAGAUAAUACCUUUAUGUCAAUCUAGUGAGCAUAUGUGGAUCAGCGGCUGGAGUCAUGGUAAAAGUACAACAUUUAGUGAUACACAACAACCAGAAACUAUAGUAUUUUGAGGGGUGGAUAUAUAUAAUCAUUACAAAGUAGUUUUUAAAAAUAAGAGCUUAUUUAUUUCACAUAGACAUAUUAGAAGUCCAGAGAAAAGCAGUGCAGGGCUUAUCUAGCAACUCAAAUUUGUGGAUGUAAAGAGUCAUAAUUUAAAAAAUGGUUUAAAAAAUGAACACAGGAUAGAAGAUAGGAUAAAAGCUUCUUUUUGGAAGGAUUUCUUUUAAUCUUAGUAUUUGUAAUAAACUGUCUUCUCCCAGAGAUUUCUUCCAACAUCUUGCUGUCAGAGUUACAUCAAAGACCUCCCAGCCAAAAACUGGCUAAGACAAAAGGGAACUGUGUCCAGUUAGAAGACCAGUAGUGCUUGUUGUUUCUUUUCUCUGUUUAUUCAUGGUGCUACAAAGAUUUUGGGGUUCCAAUGGUAAAGCUAAGUUAUUCAUACAUUAAGAUGUAGUAAUCAAGAAGUCUGCGUUUGGGACUUGGGAGAUGGUUUUAUUCAUAAAUUUUCUUGCAAACAUAAAGACUUAACUUUGAUGCCAGGAACCUAUGUAUAAAAAACCUGGUCCCAGUGGUGCCUUUGUAAUCCCAGUGCUAGAGAAAUGGAGACAGGCAAAUCCCUGGAGCUUGCUAGUCAGUCAGCCCCAGCUUACUUAGUGAUCCUCAGGCUAAUGAAAGAGAAAAAGGGG
RNAcentral lists this long non-coding RNA (4261 nucleotides) under Mus musculus (house mouse). RNAcentral's name for it is "long non-coding RNA chr12:78584532-78588793". The record is from RNAcentral. Lineage: Eukaryota; Metazoa; Chordata; Mammalia; Rodentia; Muridae.